Balaenoptera ricei (Rice's whale) is the source of this 1310-nucleotide long non-coding RNA. RefSeq lists it as uncharacterized. The transcript has 3 exons. Lineage: Eukaryota; Metazoa; Chordata; Mammalia; Artiodactyla; Balaenopteridae. The record is from RefSeq and is a predicted model, not a curated record.
CCCAGCUGUGAGGACCAUGGGGCCGCUAGCUGAGCUCGCCCUCCGCACGGAGGGACCCGGCUCGCCGUGGCUUUGAUGCCUGUGUUCGUUUUCUGUUGCUGCUGUAAUGGAUCCUGAGGAACUGAGGCCCUUGGUCAAACAGCCCACAAGAAACUACAUGAGUGAGCAUCAAACCCACCCCAGUGGAGCCCCAAGAUGCCUGCAGGCGUGCAAGACUAAGAAGAGGACCGGCUGAGCUGCACCCACAUUUCUGACCUGCAGAGACUAUGAGACCAUUCGCAUCACCACUCCUUCAAGCCAAGAAAUCAAACAGCUUGCGCAUCAUAGGCACUCAGAGAAUGGUCAAGCUAAAAGAAAUCCAUGGAAGGCAGUGUGGGGUGACUUGCAAAGGGGGACUUCCUGAUCUGGGCAGCUCCGUGGAGUCGGUGAGAUUUUAGAGAUGGGAAGGGCCUGGCUGCAAACAUCGGAACACUUACUUUCACAGCCACGGGGAUGAGGUGAUCUGGCUGUGGUCCAUGGGCGAGUCCCGAAGCCUGAGACAAGACUGCAUUUGAUCCAACCAGGUCAGCUUUAGGGAAGAGCAGCCUUUCUAGAAAUGACUGGUCGGCAAGACUUCCGUGAGGCCUCCACGCCUUCCCCAAGUGUCCAGGGAGCUCUCCCAGCCCCCGGACUUUCCCAGCUUCCGAAGAAAGCUGCAGUCUGGAGGCCGUGGCCAGUCUCCGGAUGCUGUCAUUCUCCAGGAAGGCAGGAUUGGCACGUGCUUUGUACACUUGGGCCACGCAGCCGGAACCCACAGGCUCCUGCUUCUCAAAGCAAAGGACCCUCCCCCAGUCCUCUCCGAAGGCCUGCCGUAGGAAGUGUUCAGUGUGGGUCCAAGGAUGGGGCGUUACCUGGACGUGCAGCUUGGAGAACUGAGCACAGAAAGCCUCUGAGAAGAGAUCACGCCGGGUGCUGGCCCACUGGCCGAGUUUGAUGUACGUUGGACCGGAGGUCUCGGUGGCUUUCAGAAGCAGGUGGAGCCAGAGCCUGGAGACACUGGGAGCCAGGUAGGUGAGGGGGUAGAGUAGAAGGAGGGGGAAGAAUUUCACCAAGAGCGCCCCCGCCCGGAGCCAGAUCCGCAAGUGCAGAAGGAGGCAGCCUAGCCGCCGCUCCGGGGGGACUCUCUCCAGUGGCCCGUUUUCAGCCAGGUCACUCCAACUGGUCCUUUGCCGACACAAGCUCUCCGGGGCCCCCUUGCCAAUGUCCUCAGAGGCUGAGAUGAGUUUGGGCAAAGUGCCAAGCAGAAGCCAACAAAGUCUAGCCUUGCGACA